RNAcentral lists this small nuclear RNA (223 nucleotides) under Arabidopsis thaliana (thale cress). Its description in RNAcentral is "ATSL245440". The stretch from base 2 to 197 matches the Rfam family "U2 spliceosomal RNA". From Rfam's summary of the family: U2 is a small nuclear RNA (snRNA) component of the spliceosome (involved in pre-mRNA splicing). Complementary binding between U2 snRNA (in an area lying towards the 5' end but 3' to hairpin I) and the branchpoint sequence (BPS) of the intron results the bulging out of an unpaired adenosine, on the BPS, which initiates a nucleophilic attack at the intronic 5' splice site, thus starting the first of two transesterification reactions that mediate splicing. The record is from RNAcentral. Lineage: Eukaryota; Viridiplantae; Streptophyta; Magnoliopsida; Brassicales; Brassicaceae.
CAUACCUUUCUCGGCCUUUUGGCUAAGAUCAAGUGUAGUAUCUGUUCUUAUCAGUUUAAUAUCUGAUAUGUGGGCCAUCGGCCCACACGAUAUUAACUCUAUUUUUUAAGGGAGGAAGCCCGUUUAGAUAGCUUGCUAUCUGGGCUUUCACGAGUCUCCCAUGCGUUGCACUAUUGCGAGGGCUUGGCUCAACCCGCCAUUUAUUCAGUCUAAGGAAAUAAAA